GUAAGAUUUCCUAACACCUGUGUGCAGCUGUUAAAUUCAUAGGAGCAUGUUAGGAAUUAAUCGUUGUAUGAUGAAUUAAUAAUAACCAAGAAACGAUCAUCGGGCAAAGUUGAGUAUUAAUUCAAUUUAAUAUUCCUUCAACUUUUGGCACCUCAUUUUUUGACACUCUAUUUACAGUUCCACCAAGAAACAAUUUACUUUCAGCCGGUUUACAUUUUCGUACAAACAAUUCAUCUACUUCUCGCAUUUCGAAUUCCGUUGUGAAGAACAAAGCCAAGGUUGUUGCCUUAGGUACUUUUAUAUUAAGUAUUUUGUAUUUCAUUUCAUUCAUGUGCUCAUUUCAUUUCAUGUUUAUAUCUUUCAUUGUGUGUGAGUAAUUCCUUUGGUGAGAUUUGAUCAUAAGGGAUUCGAGAGGCUAUUGUGCGUUCGGUUGAGUUCAGUGGUUCCGGAAAUAUCAGAACAGAUAUCGUGGACAGUUCGAACCUAGCGGGUGAUCUCCGCUAGGUAAGGGUUGUCCUACGCCAAGCAAAGAUUAGGGCAUACCACGCCCCAAAAUGACAAAAUAAUGUUAAUAUUUUUGUGAGACAGGGGGAGUAUAUAUUAAAGCAAAUAAUUUACUUGCAAAAAUUUUCCUCCAAAACUAUCAUUGAUAUAUCCAAUGAAUAUUAGGUUUAAGUUUUUAACUAUUGGUUAAUGGGUCGUGAUUGUUAUCCAUCAAAUACUUUAUCAAUAAAGAAAUAGAAAUAUUUAUAAAAACAUUUUAUAUCAUUUAGUAAUGAGUUUAACUGUUAAAUAAAAUAGGCAAUUGAUCUAAUAUCAAAAUUAGGGCUGGUAAUCGGUCCGAUUCAGUUAUAAUCGAACUGAUUUUUCGGUUAACUGGAACAAUGAUAACUAAAAACCGAAUCGAUUUUAAGUUCGGUUAACUACAUGGAAGAUCAAAUCGUGCAUAAGAAAUUAGGGGAAGUGCGCGGGAGUUGGCAGGUGGGGAAAGAGAGAAGAGGGAAGAAGGCGGUGGCCGCGGGGAGGAAAGAAAAAGGGGACGGCGCUUCUCGCCAUUCGCCGAGAGAAGAGGGGGCGGUGGCUGUUCACGGCGAGGGUAGAAGAAAGAGAGAAAAUUAGGGAUUUGAUCUAGGGAGAGGGGUUUUCUGAAAUUGGAGGAAUUUUGGAGGUUUCAGUGUUUUGAGACAGGGCAGGAGGAGAAGAAGCUGAUGCCGGGAAUGAGAAGUGGCAGAGGCGGUCGCCGCUGCAUGUGUUACGGCGAGGAGACAGAGGGAGAGAGGCAGUGAAGGCAGUUGGCGUGAGAGAGAAGGAAAGAAACAUUAGGGAAGUAGAGAGGGGGUGAGAGGCGAGGGGCGAAGGCGUGUACCGGCAGCAAAUUCGCCGAAGUCUGGGGUUGCAGGCGGAGCCUUUUUUUUUGGCAGCACGAAGCAACCGACUCAAAACUGGAAGCACGAAAGCUUGAGCCUUUUUUUUCUUUUGGCAGAGCACUUUUGACUAACUUAACAAAAGGCUAGCUAUUAAGUUGUAGGCACUAUUAUCAAGAUAGUAUAUUUGGCAGAGCACUAUUAUUUCAAUAUAUAUACCUAUAUACAAAUAUAUAUAUGUAUAUAAUUAUUUAAUUAUAUAAACCGGUUAAUUCGGUUUUGACCGGUCGGUUACCGGUUAAACCGAUUAACCGGUUAACAGACAAACACAUAACCGAUAACCGAACCGAACCGGAAAAUUCCAAUUAUCGGUUAACCGAUUAACCGGUUUUUCGGUUCGGUUAUGGUUAUAACCGGAUAACUGAAACUGUUUUACCACCCCUAAUCAAAAUAGUUAAUUUGAAAGAAACUAUAAACAUAAAACACUCAUAAUUUAUGUUUACAGUAUUGUUUAUAUUUUAAAAUAUAUAUUGUUGGUUCUUACAAUUAAUCGAUGAACAAAUCAAUAUAUUUUGUAUAAUUUUAAUAUAUAUUGUAACAUUUGAACUUAUCAUAUGGAUAUUUCAUUAUACACAAGAAAUUCUAUAAGAUAUUUGUAUUGUGUAACACAUUGACACAAAAUUAUAUUUUUAGCAAUGAUGUUUUAUAAGUUUAGUUACUAUCAAAUAUAUAAUACGGUUAAGGAAUCCUGCGCUCUCCUUAAUCCGGGGUCCUACGUGGUAUAUCUAAGAAUUCACCAUUCAAAAUCCCUGCAAUUCUAGAGCCUCUAGCUCAAUUCUCCAUCGUUGACGUGACAAUAUAAUUCCACAUGUAAUAAUAUACUAGUGUGUAACCCGUCGAAUUUCGACGGGUAUCAUUUAGUGUUAUAAUUUAUAUAUAAAAAAUGUAAAAAUUCUUUCUUAAUAUAUUUAUAAAUUAUGGAGAUUAUUCACUAAAAAAAUUGCUAAUAUAAUAUAGGUCUAUAUUACACAUCAAACUAAAAUGAAAAAAUAAAUUAAAUAGGGCUUUCAUCCUUAACAUGACUUAACGAAAUGUAUAUUCGAAAAAAUUAUUUGCCAUCCACUACUAUUUGCCACCCAUAACCGUCACCCGUCAGAUACCCGUCACCCGUCUGGUCUCCGCCACCCACUACCCGUCAGAUACUCGCCACUCACUACCCGGCGGACAUCGUCACCCGUCAGAUACCCGUCACCCGUCUGGUCUCCGCCACCCGCUACCCGUCAGAUACUCGCCACUCACUACCCGUCGGAUGUCCGCCGUGACUUGCGAGGUAGGGGAAUUGCUGCUUCUUGACGUCGACAUUCUACAAUCAACCACCCAACAAAUGCAAUAAAUCAACUACAAUCAUCUCGAUUCCUUCCUUCGUUAUGUCCUUUUGAAUCCACAAUCGAAGUAUCCUGACCACCACAAACUUAUUUCUUGUGUUACCAUUUAUGGCAUUCAAUCGAACUUGCUUGUUUGAUGUUGACAUCUCCUAUGUUUAAGAUAGAAAUAUUAAAAAGACAUAUUAGCUAUCUUAAAAAUAGAACUGAAAAUAAAAUAAUUUUUAGUAACUUAAAAAUAAUUAGUUGAAAAUUAAAUUUAUUCCUAUGUUUAAGAUAGAAAUAUUAAAAAGACAUAGAUAUCUUAAAAAUAGAACUGAAAAUCAAAAUAAUUUUUAGUAACUUAAAAAUAAUUAGUUGAAAAUUAAAUUUAUGUUAUAGUGACAUGUCAAAAAGAUUGGGAAAACAUUAAAAAACAUAGAACAUUAUUAAUCAUGUAUGGUUAAUAAUAAUACCAAAAAAAAUAUCCUAAUUAAUAGUAUCACGAAUUAUUAAUUAUUAGAAGCAAUGAAGAAGAAACAUUUAUGAAAUUUAAAAAUAAGAUGCUCACAUGAUUCCUGAUUGAGCAUUCGAUUCUUGGUUCAUUUUGUAAUGUUGAAGUUUAAAUUCUUGAUUGAGCAUUCGAUUAUUAUUUCCCAUCGCUAAAGUGAUUUCUCUGAAAACUGAGAAAUAAGUAAAAUAUAGAAUCUAUUAUUAUUUUAUUUUAUUUUAUUUGCUAAGAAACUGUAGAUAAAGUUGAAGUUUUAAAUUAAAAAUAUGAAACGACAAUAUAGUAAAUGAAACAAUAGACACACACUGAAGUUUUAAAUUAAAAAUAUGAAACGACAUUAUAGUAAAUGAAACAAUAGACACACACGCUAUGCUACUAUCUCUCUUUCACACACAGACACACACAUUGCGUUUAUGAGUUAAAAAAAAGAAACAGGUAGACUUUAAGCCUGUUCAAGGGGACUGACGGCGGGAUUGCGACAGCAACGGCGAGAAACCGACGCCGGAUGGUAAUGGACAUACAUGAAUACAUGAACUAAUGGAUAUGCAUGAAUACAUCGAAUUUGAACAGUACCAUAAAGUGAGUUAAUAAUCCAACUAUAUCAAAAUCCAAGAGGUUCAGAAAACUAAAACAUUGUAUUAUAUCAUUAUACUCAUUCGAUCAAUUCCAAAAGAAUCUAAUGCAAAUCACUGGAAUACAAUAUCACAUAAAAUUGGAAUACUCUAUCAUGUUUUGUUAUGUCACUACAGAUUAAUAAUCAAACCUCCCUUUUGAAUUCUCACUCACUUGCAAUUGUAGCUGAACGGAAGCCAAAAGUAAUUGAUUUGAGUGCUGCAAUAUGCAGAAAUACAGAGAGAAAAUAGGCUAUAAAUCACAAACGAACCUGUAAGGCAGUUAUUAAAGGAUUUCUACUCUCACCACAUAUAAGAUCACAUUUUUUUACUGGCAAAUGAUUGAAAACAUCAGUUAUUAAAAUACUAUAAAUAAGCAGCUACCACAAACGGACCUGUAAGGCAGAACGCAUAAGCUCGUCAACAUAAUCAAUAGUAGCACAUAAGUUACCAACUCCAGAUCACAAAUCAUAUUCCUCAGAAUCCUUUGGGCAGGCUCAGCAAAUAAAAAUAUAGCUCAGAAAGAUGGAACUGGAACUGGAAAUAGAAAUAGAAUCAUACCGUCAGCAGAUGGUUGAGAGGCACUUUGAAUUCCUUGAUGGCGAAUUUCAGAACUAAAAUAUAGAGAAAGAAAAAGAAUUAAACCAGUAACAAUUACAAUAAAGCUUAAAACUGAUUCUUGACAUAUGUGUAAAGAAUAGAAGAAAAGUAUAACAUUGUGAUAAAAGCAACAAUGCCUGCAAGAUUUCAAACAACAGUGAUAAAAUACCUCAAAGAAUUUCAUUACUUUU
Molecule: long non-coding RNA, 4638 nt
Filed under: Salvia miltiorrhiza (redroot sage)
Lineage: Eukaryota; Viridiplantae; Streptophyta; Magnoliopsida; Lamiales; Lamiaceae
Description: long non-coding RNA (SMIL_LNC001041)
Source: RNAcentral